Molecule: ribosomal RNA, 465 nt
Filed under: uncultured bacterium
Lineage: Bacteria
Description: bacterial SSU rRNA
Rfam family: Bacterial small subunit ribosomal RNA
Source: RNAcentral
CCAGACUCCUACGGGAGGCAGCAGUGAGGAAUAUUGGUCAAUGGGCGGAAGCCUGAACCAGCCAAGUCGCGUGAGGGAUUAAGGCCCUAUGGGUCGUAAACCUCUUUUGUCAGGGAGCAAUGGCGUCCACGUGUGGGCGUAUGGAGAGUACCUGAAGAAAAAGCAUCGGCUAACUCCGUGCCAGCAGCCGCGGUAAUACGGAGGAUGCGAGCGUUAUCCGGAUUUAUUGGGUCUAAAGGGUGCGCAGGCGGCGUGUCAAGUCAGCGGUCAAAUUGCGGGGCUCAACCCCGUACUGCCGUUGAAACUGGCGUUCUUGAGUGGGCGAGAAGUAUGCGGAAUGCGUGGUGUAGCGGUGAAAUGCAUAGAUAUCACGCAGAACUCCGAUUGCGAAGGCAGCAUACCGGCGCCCUACUGACGCUGAGGCACGAAAGCGUGGGUAUCGAACAGGAUUAGAUACCCUGGUAA